This 478-nucleotide ribosomal RNA is filed under the name uncultured bacterium. RNAcentral's name for it is "partial 16S ribosomal RNA". It matches the Rfam family "Bacterial small subunit ribosomal RNA", at positions 28 to 506 of the family's 1533-position model. The record is from RNAcentral.
GAUGAACGCUGGCGGGAGGCCUAACACAUGCAAGCCGAGCGGUAUUGUUUCUUCGGCAAUGAGAGAGCGGCGUACGGGUGCGUAACACGUGUGCAACCUGCCUUUAUCUGGGGGAUAGCCUUUCGAAAGGAAGAUUAAUACUCCAUAAUAUAUUUAACGGCAUCGUUUAAUAUUGAAAGCUCCGGCGGCUAGAGAUGGGCACGCGCAAGAUUAGCUAGUUGGUGAGGUAACGGCGCACCAAGGCGAUGAUCUUUAGGGGGCCUGAGAGGGUGAUCCCCCACACUGGUACUGAGACACGGACCAGACUCCUACGGGAGGCAGCAGUGAGGAGUAUUGGUGAAUGGGUGCAAGCCUGAACCAGCCAUCCCGCGUGAAGGACGACUGCCCUAUGGGUUGUAAACUUCUUUUGUAUAGGGAUAAACCUACCCUCGAGAGGGUAGCGGAAGGUACUAUACGAAUAAGCACCGGCUAACUCCGU